AUUCUUUCUGCAAUAGCUAUCAGCCAACCUGCAGUCUAUGUCAUGGGUGGGGUUCAAGGUACAAGGUUCUCCAGCUCCACUUUGGGAAAUUCAUUGAUCCUGCCUGGGGACAGAACAAGACUUGAGUUGCUCAUGAGUAGAAACAUGGGUUUCUUGCUCAGAAGAGGGAAUGUCACAGCACUCAAAAGAUCCCAGGCUGCCACUUCCAGUUUAGGAAACCUCCAGUCACAAGAUGGUAACUGAGGCGAAGGGGACCAAUACCUAACAAGCAAGACUGACCCCUAAAUUGCCAAUGGAGCACCUAGCCUAAAGACUGAAGCCAAAUCAGCUAAAUUUUCAGAAUCAAAGGUAAAAAAUAAUCUACGCUUUGUAUGAGAAAAAGAAAAAAUAUCUUAGAGGAGAAAUGAGAGUGGAAGCACUGAAAAUGAUGAGAAGGGCAUAGUUGCAAAUCCAGGUAUAUGCAAAGUGUCAAGAAAGUCAUUGGCUAAACAUUUCCAUCCAGUCUGCAAAAACAAUGGACACAACUGCUGAGCAUGGAAGGUCCCUUCCAAAGCUGCAAUACCCACUGGAUGGAGCACCAGGCAGCUACCAAAACAUUUUGUUGUGGUAAAGGAGAAAGUCUUGUGGAAAAGCCAAAACAUCAAAGGCCCUUGAUUGCUAAGUCACUGAAUAGAUGAUACCUACUGUCAAGGAGAUCUUCCAUUGCCAUUGCAGGCAUAAGAAAAUAAACUCUUUGAAAAACCACUAAAAUCUAAGAGCUGUUUGUUACCAGUGCAUAAUCUAGCCCUACUCUUACUAAUAGAUAACGAAAAGAAGAUAAAUAGAAAGUGGCGAGAGAUAACAGUGAAGUUGAAGAAAGGAGAUUCUUACUUUUUUAAUGUUUCAUAUUUCUAUGGUGAGUGAGACUGAAGCCUGUUUGUUAGAAAAAUGGAAAGAGGCAGUACAGAGGAAGAAUGUGAAGAUGCUAAAGCAGUAUUCUAAAGAAAACAGAAAAUGUGGCAAUAUACAAGCCAUGAGGUGAGCCUUUGCAUUUCUUCUAAGAAAAAUCCAGACCCAGGAGGAGUUGCAGAGAAAAGCUGAAGAUGACCACCCUCAUCAGCCCAUGCACUUGACUUCUGAAGCAAGCAAGCAAAGAGGCUGGAAUUUUAAAUCCUUGGCAUGGAACAAUUUCAAGGGAUGACGAACGUCUGCGACUGAAAUAACCAUGCAUGCAAUGAUGGCCUUUGCAUAUCAGCCUCCUGGCAGCUGUCCAUGCAGGAUGACUGGCAAGGACUGGUACUCCCUGCAUUCCACUCUUUUGGUUUAAAUAAUAUAGGCAUUUCUUAAAGAGAAUCAUCAUUAUUUAAGAAGUAAAUUUCUAUCCAGAAAGGGUUAAAUUUGUUCUUCUUUUUUUUUUUCAGUUCUAACUCCCUACCCCCACUGUUUGCCUAUGUCCUUUAACUGAAUUAGUUAUUCCAUUGCCAGGCCAGUGCUGGUCCCCUGCAGAACAACACAUGCUGUGCUCUCUCUGCAGUGCACUCAUGAUGAACUUUGGGCCACACAUCUGCUGCAGAGAAGGAACUCACAUUCCCAAAUGGCUGACAUAAGCUGAGGAUUCGAAGUUCAUAUGUUUGUGGCAUAUUUUUAUUAGAUAGGCUGCUAGAGAAUCAGAGAAGUACAUUUAGUUAUUAUUUCUUUAUCUCAUUACAGCACAUUCCAAACUAUUUUUCUUUUUAUCCACUUGAUAUUAUUCUAAGAUUCUGUUUCUACAAGUUAAUAUCUAGGCUAAAACCAGGGUUCACUACCCUUUACCCCUAAAUCAUUGCUAUGUCUAGCUUAAGGGUGUGUCCUCAUUACUUCCCUCAUUGCUGGGACAAAAUACCCAACAUCUACAACUGAAAGUAGAGGUUUCUUUUGCUGCAUGUUUCAGUCCAUAGUUGGCUGGCUCCAAAGCAGGACAGCAUGGCAGAGGGGUAUGGUGUAGGAAAAUCUGCUCACAGCAUGGUGGACAGGAAGCAGAAGGUGUCAAGGCAGGAGCUUCUGGUCACACCCACAGUGAUCUUCCUCUUCUGACCAGACCCUCCCUCCUAACAGCAAGUCAGUUAUAAGCCCCCAUAAUCCAAUCUUGCAAAACCUGUCUGUGGGUACAGGAGGGACUUGAAGGAUGUCUAGAUAUAAGUAUAAUGGAAUGUUUUGUACAGUUUUACCUCUUCAAGCCUCUUUGAUUUUCUGCAGAAACAGGCAAAAAUUUUCUGUAGAGUCUGAUAGAAAAAGUUAGGUUUUGUAGGCCAAGUGCUCUGUUGCAACUACUCAGUCUUUUACAGCACAAAAGCACCCAGAGAUAGAACCUAAAUGGAAAACAUUGUUGUGUUCCAAUAAAACUUUAUUUGCAAAAACAGCCAGUGGGUUAGAUUCAGCUCAUGGGUUAUUCUUGGCUAACUGCAGAUUACAGUACAGACUAGCAAGAAGGCUUCAGGUGAAGUGACAGACAAAAAAGCAGCAUCUUUUCAUGUAUUUAUUUGUUAGAAGGAAAAAAAUAACUAAAAUAUUAGAUUGAAGAAUGCAAGCAUGUGGCAUUUUCUCCUCCUAAAAUGUUGCACUAUAAAUUUUUGGAUUCUUCUCCAGUUCACAAAAUAAUUUAAUUCAGAGAAGAGAGGGUUAAAUAGCUAAAAACCGCAGGACAAAAGUAUCACUUAUCUGCAAACACAGCCUCUUCUUUAGAAACUGAUUUACCCAGACAUUGAAUUGAUUAUAAGAUACGUAAAGUAAAAACAAAUUUGCUGACCUUCAUUUCAGAGAUCAAAGGUUAAAUUCAUACCCUGUAGGAUAGUUCUGUUAAAUUACUCCCAAGCUGCCUGGUGACAUAGUUUUUAAAAAUAUUUCUCUCCAACUUUAUCAAGUGUUCUUUGUGUGCUGAAAACAUGAUUUGAAAUCCCAGCUGGAGUUGGGACCUCAUGAGUCCGAGAUAGCUGAAAUUCUUCUCCAGCUAUAUCCAAAGGCAAAUGGUUAGUUGGAAUAGACAUUAAUUGCAGGGGUUAAUAUCUCUGAGUCUAGUUAUUUAUUGAAGAUUGAAAUUAACAUUUUAUGCUGGAUAACCAAGAGUUGCAUGAACCGCACAUAGAUAAAGAGCUAAAAUUGUCUAUUUUGAUGUCCUUGACAUUGGGCUGAAUAAAUAUGUCUUAGAUAGCAAUGUCUGGCAAUGAGUUAGUGUUCCCAAUUUAUUUGCUUCUAAGCAGUGUGUCAGAGCAGAACCCAGAGAGUUCAAAAGUUAGGCAAAUUGCACACAAAUUAGUUCAACACAAUAACAUUUUUUUAAAAAGUAAAAUUUCUAUUUAACUAUAAACUUACACAAACCCCCAAAGCAGUGGUCCACAAAAUUUAUUUUAUGACAAAGUUUCACCAGUUCUUAGUGAGAUGAAAGAAUGUUAAGACAUUGGUGUAUUUUAUGUAGCUAAGUCCAUUUCAUUUAAAGGACUGCACUUUAACCUGAAAUAGAACCUCUCUAUUUUUAUGUUAAAUAACUAAACGACAUUUGUUUUAUUUAAUAUUUAGCUAGUAAAAAAUAUAUUUGCAAUGGUAUAUUGGUCCCUAUUUGGAUUUUUUGUUGUUGUUGUUGAUAUUGUCUGUUUUUGUUUUGGUUUUUUUGGUUUUUUGAGACAGGGUGUCGCUAUGUUGUCCAGCCUGGCUUCCAACUUGCAGUGAUCCUCUUGCCUCAGCCACCCAAUGCUGGGAUUUUAGGCAUGUGCCACCAUGAUUGGCUUCCUGCUUGUUUUUAACCCAUAAUUCUACUAUUUAGUGAGUAGGACAUUGAGAAUAUGAAAGGGGGUUAUUGAAACUUUAAGUUCUUCCAUUUACUGGCUCAAUAGGGAGCAACAAAUACAGAUUUUCUUCUGUACACAGUUCAGAAAGUAUGUGAUUAUGGGUCCCUACAAAUCUAAAAUGUAAAAGCCUAACCUCUGGUGUUUUUGUCCUAUGGGGUUAUGUGUGUGCAUUCAUAAAGAGGACUUGUCACUGCGGUGAUAAGAGGAAGGUAUCCACCUUUGUUUCUGUUUUACUUUGUUUGAUGCUGUACCAAGGAUUAAGCCCAGUGCCUCCACACUAAUCUUUAUCCCCAGACCUUUUUUAUUUUGAGUCAGUGUUUCCACAAGUUACUAAAUUUUCCAGGUUGGCCCAAACUUAAUGAUCCUCCUGCUUCAGCCUCCCAGAGUACUGGGAUUUCAUUGACAUUUUGACCACACGUUUCCUAUUGUGGCAUGAUGUAAACUGAUGAUAAUUUAGUCAUUACAAUUUCCAGUAAGAAGCAUUCCACCAAAGUUUCACUUCUUAAUCUAUAAAUGAGGAUAAUAACAUACUCAAUGUCAUGAAGGUAGUUGGGGAAUCAAAUGAAGUAAUCGAUGUAAUACACUAGUUACUUAGUGUAAAAUAAGUACUCAGUGAAUGUUUUGUACUAAUAUUUUAAUUAUAUGUCAGAAAGAGACCAAAAGGCUUAUUUCAGUCAUGGAAUUAUGUUCCCAAAUUAUGAAGCUAAAAUAGAAAAUACAAUCACCUAGAUUUAUUUUUAAAUCAACUAAGGUCAAAAGUUGUCUCUUGAAACCUUAAUCUUCCAUCUGAGAUUUUGCUACUGUAUAUAUAGUUGUGUGAUCACAAAGGUUAAUGUAUUUAAAAAUUGUUAAACUAUUCUGUUGAGUCAGGGUUAUAUGAAGUGGGAUACUGAUUCCAAAUUCUCCUGCUAAAACAUCACCACCAAGAAGGGUCAGAUAAGGAAGCCUGCCAAAGCAGCACUUGAUUAGCUCCUGAGACAUUAACCCUGGUCCUGACAGCAAAGGUCAGACCCAUGUUACUGGGAGGACUUCCUCCUCAAACAGCGUGCUACCUUCUCCUAGGCAGGAAACAGCCUCGUGUUAACAGUUCCAGCUAUUGAGCUAUUGUGAACCCUCUCUUACCAAGAAAAGCAAGGACCACAAACUUACAAUCCUCCGAAGAGCCAGGACUCCCAUAGAGAACAUUUGCCUUUUUCUUACUAGAUGAACUCUCCACCCAGCUUAUCAUGACUCACAGUGAUGAGCAGUGAAUUGGGGCAGAGAAUCUUCAGCUUCCUUUAAAGCAAAGAUUCUCCACUUUGGCAGGAGUAAGGGGACAUAGAUAGAAGUGUUGGUUGAAAAUGAACACUCUCCCCAGAAUAAACAGAGUGGGCACUGACACACGCAUUAAAAAUGACAUAUAACUUGUGAGAGUAAUGAGAUCUCCAAGAACCUCACUGAAGAACCCUUGCUUCAUUGCUGAAAUGAGCCAUCAAUCUGUAGGUCAGCUAUCAAAGUAUCUUUGGACUUAAGGAACAAAAAACCCAUUCAGAGUAGACCAUGAAAGGAGGGGUAUUUCAUGAACAAUUACCCAACAGAUAGAGUGCCGCCUUUCUCCAAGACACAGGAAUGUCUCAGGCAUCUCAGG
Heterocephalus glaber (naked mole-rat) is the source of this 5427-nucleotide long non-coding RNA. The record is from Ensembl. NCBI's taxonomy places the organism in Eukaryota, Metazoa, Chordata, Mammalia, Rodentia, Bathyergidae.